GUAUUUGGGUGUUUUAAUCAAAGUUAAAACUUCACAUCUUCUCUAUAAAAUAUAUUGUAUUUCAUUUCUCUCAUCAUAAAACAACAUAUAGAAGUGGAAUGAAUUUUUCCGCAGGACCCACAUAGAUAAUCCAAACCCCUUCCAGCUUUUCUUCAGUGUGCAAUUCCAAUAUUUUAGGCAUAUACCAUGGCAUGUAUAAGGUUGGUAAUCACUGAGUUAGAGGUCUGGUUAAGAAAUUUAUGGAAUACAACACGGCUAGAAAAAGACUGAAGCCCACAUGAGUUGAUAACUGUUGAAACUGCGUGAUGAGUACAUGGGGAUUCACGUGUAAAUAUGGAAACGUCUGUAAGAUAUAUUAUUUAGGUGAAAAAUGCAAGGCAAAGUGUGUCUACAAGUUAUUGUGUAAAAAAAAAAAAGGGAGGACCAAAAUGUAUUUGUAUUUACGUAUUUGCCUGUAUGUGAAAAGGAUAUCAAUAAUCUGGGGAAGGACUUGAGUGGGUAGGGUGGGGGACAGGGGACAGGAACAUGUCGGUGGGGAGGGGCUGGAGGCUUUGGUCUUAAAUUAAGGAAGGAGAGAGGUGGUCCUGAGCUCUGGCAAAGGUGUAGCAAGCUCUGAAUCGGUACCGAAGGGUUGGGAGAGUUGAGGUCCUCUCGAUAGGCAGGGUGGAGGAUGGAGGACCGGAGCACACUGGCCGGGAGGGUCGUGGGUGUCACGGAAGGGCAGCUUAGGGGUGGGCAUGGCUUCCAGGUCGCAAACCCCGGCCACCAGGGGACAGUCAAGCCUUCUCCUGAAAGCGGGUGGGCGGAGCCCCCGGGCCAGGUCCUUCCCUAGCCCUGCCCCCAGCGGGAGCGCCCGCCCCUGUAGGCCUGGCUGGCUUCCCCAGACCUCGCUCGGACCUCCGGCUGCAGCUGCGUGGGAUUCGGUGAGGUGCACCUCCUCCCUUCUUCUGGGUUUUUGGACUUUCACUCACACCACAAAUAUUUACUGAGCGCAUACCAUGCUCCAACAGCAGUGCUGGAGACGCAGCAAUGCACAAGACAAACAAGGCCAGACUGACUUCAGCUAGAUGUCUGCCCAGAGGUAGCCAACUGAACAGUGUGGGUCACUCUGCAGCCGCCUGCAAUCCUGGAGAAGGAGAAGAAAAAACCUGGCCCAAGAAUGCCUCAGGGCACCAGCUCAGGUGCCAGGGGACCACCAUCUUGCCAGGGGUGAAAUGCAGUCCCUGAAUGAAGCUGACCAGUCCUCUAAUUCCCAUCCUUCUCCUCUCUGCCUCCCACGUUUCCACACUUCCUCCUAGCGAUGUGACUGAGUAGGUUACUCCAUCUCUCUGGCCCACAGCGUCCUCACUUGUUAAAUAACAAUAAAGUAAUACCUGUGUUAUGGAA
Long non-coding RNA from Manis pentadactyla (Chinese pangolin), 1386 nucleotides. RefSeq lists it as uncharacterized. The record is from RefSeq and is a predicted model, not a curated record. NCBI's taxonomy places the organism in Eukaryota, Metazoa, Chordata, Mammalia, Pholidota, Manidae. The transcript is spliced from 3 exons.